UACGUAGGGGCCUAGCGUUGUCCGGAUUUAUUGGGCGUAAAGAGCUCGUAGGCGGUUUGGUGAGUCGGGUGUGAAAUCUCCACGCUCAACGUGGAGGGGCCACCCGAUACUGCCAUGACUAGAGUCCGGUAGGGGAGUGUGGAAUUCCCGGUGUAGCGGUGAAAUGCGCAGAUAUCAGGAGGAACACCGGUGGCGAAGGCGGCUACCUGGACAGAAACUGACGCUGAGGCACGAAAGCUAGGGGAGCAAACAGG
This 254-nucleotide ribosomal RNA is filed under the name uncultured bacterium. RNAcentral's name for it is "partial 16S ribosomal RNA". It matches the Rfam family "Bacterial small subunit ribosomal RNA", at positions 524 to 776 of the family's 1533-position model. The record is from RNAcentral.